RNAcentral lists this ribosomal RNA (250 nucleotides) under uncultured Leptotrichia sp. RNAcentral's name for it is "partial 16S ribosomal RNA". It matches the Rfam family "Bacterial small subunit ribosomal RNA", at positions 87 to 339 of the family's 1533-position model. The record is from RNAcentral. Lineage: Bacteria; Fusobacteriati; Fusobacteriota; Fusobacteriia; Fusobacteriales; Leptotrichiaceae.
GCCUAGCCAAGGCGGACGGGUGAGUAACGCGUAAGGAACUUGCCCUGCAGACAGGGAUAACAGACGGAAACGACUGAUAACACCUGGUAUUGUCAGGCUGGCGCAUGCCGGCCUGAUGAAAGGAGACGCUGCAGGAGAGCCUUGCGUCCUAUUAGCUAGUUGGUGGGGUAACGGCCCACCAAGGCGAUGAUAGGUAGCCGGCCUGAGAGGGUGAACGGCCACAAGGGGACUGAGAUACGGCCCUUACUCC